GGGGCCGCAUAAGCCUUUGAACUGCGAGCAAUACCCGCGUUGAGAGUGACUGAAAGCUUUUGGGUUGUAAACCUCUUUUCUCAGGGAAGAACACUGACGGUACCUGAGGAAUCACCAUCGGCUACCUCCGUGGCCAGCAGCCGCGGUAAUAUAG
This 154-nucleotide ribosomal RNA is filed under the name uncultured bacterium. RNAcentral's name for it is "partial 16S ribosomal RNA". The stretch from base 42 to 154 matches the Rfam family "Bacterial small subunit ribosomal RNA", at positions 401 to 528 of the family's 1533-position model. The record is from RNAcentral.